AAAGAUAGAUGUCAAUGGUCAUAAAGAAGGCUCGGCUCAUCUACUUGCAAACAGGAAGUUGUACAACAAAUGCAAAAGUAACGUACUCCAUUUAAAUAAAUUGUAUACUCUUCGGUCAUGAUUUUGAGAAGAAAAGAGUAGCAAUUAGUACUUUGAAGAGCUAUUAUCCAAUACAUAAUUUAAACUGCAGCCUUCAAAACUGCACAGGCACUUGAAAUGCAUGCUGGCAUAAAUGCAUCUGGUUUUCAAAAUGUUCUUUGAGAGGAUUCUCUUAGGCUGGCAGCGCUGAUGCCCGGUUUUCCGUAUCAGCUCACGUGGACGCCGUAUACUGACUACGUGGACACAACUGAAAGCAGAGUGCGGUCCAGGUUCUUCCCGGACGGGUGCGCUUUGUUACAUCACACUGGAGGCGACAGUGACACUGAAAUCUUACGUGGCAUGAUGCCCUGGUCCACCAGCUGUUCUCUCGUCCUCCUCUGUUGGAGCCUCAGCUGGAGCACUGUGAAAAGGAAAGAUCACCACUGAGUUUAUCGGCAACUGCAGGUGCCAACUAGCGGAUCCCGGAGGAGAUACAACUACGCUUUAUUAAACCCCUUCUACUUCAUAAGCGAGUGAGGAUAAUACCUGGCACCGUCCAACUUGUAAAAAGAAAACCGAUUUGUAGUUUCUGCCAGUUUGGUGAGCUCGGAAGUUCCCUUGGCUUCUUUUUUGUUUAGUUAGUUCAUAAUCUUAAUUUGAUGAAUAUAGCUAAGUAUUUGUUGUUUAAAUACAAUGACAACAUACUCUGCAAAUAAACAAAAAUAGUUGGCUUAUA
This is a long non-coding RNA of Neofelis nebulosa (Clouded leopard), 814 nucleotides long. RefSeq lists it as uncharacterized. The transcript is spliced from 3 exons. Lineage: Eukaryota; Metazoa; Chordata; Mammalia; Carnivora; Felidae. The record is from RefSeq and is a predicted model, not a curated record.